CUUUGAGAUCUCCUAUGCUCUGGAUACCACCCAGUGUCUCAAUUGACUUCCUGUUGCCUGAAAGAUGUAGGACUCUCAGCUACUACUCCGUACCAUGCCUGCCUGCCUGCACACCACCAUACUCCCUGCCAUGAUGACAAUGGACUGAACCUCUGAAACUGAAGAACUUGGGGAUGUCGGAGUGGCUGCCUAUCCUCUGAAGUACUACACCAUCAUCCACAGACCUCGGGUUAACAUGAAGGUCACAUGGUGAAGGGUGCUAUUGAGACAGAGUACAUACAAACCAGAUAUAGCUUCUGCCUUAGGGGUAUGUGAUGAACUUCAGAAACACCAAUAAAUCACCAACUAUUAACACCAAUUGUGUAAGAACUAAGAAAAAGAAGUGCUAUGGAAGAUAAUAAAGGAUGUGUGCUUAAGCUGAGAAGUCAAAGGCAAGCAGGGAAGCAGUGUGGUCUGACCCUGGAACUUUUAGGGACAACUCUCUGUACCUGACUGGACUUCAGCUGGCCAUGAAUUUGUGAUUGUGCCUUAGCCUCCUGAGAAGCUGGAAUUACAAGCCUGUGCCAUCAGGCCUUUGAUUUAUUUAUGUUGGGUGAAAGUUACUUUCUGGAAUAAAUCUCAUUUGCCUGUUGUAUUUUUGUCUUCUAUUUUGAUGUGAUGAUCUGCUAGUAUUUUGUGUAAGAAUUCUGUAUCUGUUUCUACGUGGUACUUGGUGAUGUUUUUCUAACAUCUUAGAUUUUAUAAGAUUAUGCUGUCAUUAUUCCUUCCUAUUUUCCAAAUUCAUGUAAGACUGACAUCGCAUGUUCUUUAAAUGUUUACAGAUCUCACCAGUGAAACCAUCUGUGAAACCUAGAGUUGUUUUGUAAAUUAUUUAAAAAUUAAUUCAAAAUUUCUAUUUCUUCAGCCAGUUUUGGUUUGUGAAUGAAUAUAUUUAUUGCUAUCUGAUUUUAUUGGUCUAAGUUAACUUGUAAUAUUCUUCUCUUACAGUUUUAACUAGGAAUUCUCAAGCAUAGGACCACUAAUAUUUGAGAUCAAUAAAGUUGAGGAAGACGUGUGUGUGCAUGGCAGAAGGCUUAGCUGCUUCUCUGGCUUCACCCACUCCAUUAAUAGCAUGGCCUGAUUAUGACAACCAAAUAUGGUCCCAGCCAUUACAACCAUGCUCUGCCAUGGAAUUGACUGAAGGUUCAUGUCAUAUGCCUGUACAGAAGUGCUCAAAUCCUGCAGAUAUGACUAAUUUGUCUCUUUAUCCUUAUUCUUCUAUUAGUUUUACUAGAAUUAUGCACUGUACAAAAAUAGGCUGUGCAUUUACUUGUCCGAUGCCCCAGUUUGCUUGCCCUGUCUUGGAUGCUUUAAUUUUUUUCUCCAUGUUUUUCUAAUAAAAGCGUUAAAAAUAAUAUAUUUGUCU
Molecule: long non-coding RNA, 1405 nt
Filed under: Cricetulus griseus (Chinese hamster)
Lineage: Eukaryota; Metazoa; Chordata; Mammalia; Rodentia; Cricetidae
Description: lncRNA (ENSCGRG00015039300.1)
Source: RNAcentral